GCCACCGUAGCACAAUGGUUAGUGUGUCGCUUUCCUACUUGGGGUAAGGAUUAGCUUCUAAUUAUAGAACUAAUCCCCUGGAGUAAGGCGGAGGUUGCGGGUUCGAGUCCCGUCGGUGGUU
Non-coding RNA from Lyophyllum atratum, 121 nucleotides. The record is from the annotation of a GenBank genome assembly. Lineage: Eukaryota; Fungi; Basidiomycota; Agaricomycetes; Agaricales; Lyophyllaceae.